GGCUGGUCUGAUAGUAGUGGGUUAUCAGAAAUGAACAUUAGUGUCACUAACGUUGGUGGUAUACAAUCUCCCACUGCUAAAUCUGAUUGACUUUUA
Unclassified non-coding RNA from Homo sapiens (human), 96 nucleotides. It matches the Rfam family "Y RNA". Rfam says of the family: Y RNAs are components of the Ro ribonucleoprotein particle (Ro RNP), in association with Ro60 and La proteins. NCBI's taxonomy places the organism in Eukaryota, Metazoa, Chordata, Mammalia, Primates, Hominidae. The record is from Ensembl.